Molecule: ribosomal RNA, 435 nt
Filed under: uncultured bacterium
Lineage: Bacteria
Description: partial 16S ribosomal RNA
Rfam family: Bacterial small subunit ribosomal RNA
Source: RNAcentral
AGCGAACGCUGGCGGCAGGCUUAACACAUGCAAGUCGAGCGGGCGUAGCAAUACGUCCGCGGCAGACGGGUGAGUAACGCGUGGGAACGUACCUUUUGGUUCGGAACAACACAGGGAAACUUGUGCUAAUACCGGAUAAGCCCUUACGGGGAAAGAUUUAUCGCCGAAAGAUCGGCCCGAGUCUGAUUAGCUAGUUGGUGAGGUAACGGCUCACCAAGGCGACGAUCAGUAGCUGGUCUGAGAGGAUGAUCAGCCACAUUGGGACUGAGACACGGCCCAAAAUCCUACGGGAGGCAGCAGUGGGGAAUAUUGGACAAUGGGGGCAACCCUGAUCCAGCCAUGCCGCGUGAGUGAUGAAGGCCCUAGGGUUGUAAAGCUCUUUUGUGCGGGAAGAUAAUGACGGUACCGAAAGAAUAAGCCCCGGCUAACUUCGUG